GUGGGGAAUAUUGGGCAAUGGGGGAAACCCUGACCCAGCAACGCCGCGUGAAGGAAGAAGGCUUUCGGGUUGUAAACUUCUUUUACCAGGGAAAAACACAAUGAUGGUACCUGGAGAAAAAGCUACGGCUAACUACGUGCCAGCAGCCGCGGUAAUACGUAGGUGGCAAGCGUUGUCCGGAAUUACUGGGUGUAAAGGGCGUGUAGGCGGAACUACAAGUCAGGGGUGAAAACUAUGGGCUUAACCCAUAGCCUGCCUUUGAAACUGUAGUCCUUGAGUGCUGGAGAGGCAAUUGGAAUUCCUAGUGUAGCGGUGAAAUGCGUAGAUAUUAGGAGGAACACCAGUGGCGAAGGCGAAUUGCUGGACAGUAACUGACGCUGAGGCGCGAAAGCGUGGGGAGCAAACAGGAUUAGAUACCCGGGUAGUCC
Molecule: ribosomal RNA, 428 nt
Filed under: uncultured bacterium
Lineage: Bacteria
Description: partial 16S ribosomal RNA
Rfam family: Bacterial small subunit ribosomal RNA
Source: RNAcentral